CUAAACGACGAAACAUCACUGUCACCAGUGUCAUCGUCAGCUGGUAUGGGCUGUUAUGAUAUUAAAAAUAUCUUAAAAUAAAGUUUCUUGAACGUAGAAUAGUCGACCUCGUAGCAUUUUUUACAAAAAUCUUACUAUAAGCUAAUAAAUUAAUAAGUUUUCAUGGUAUUUCUAAGCAAAAUGUUGAAAGGAUUGAUCAUUUUUGGAACGGGUGUGUACACAGGUGUUUACAUAGCACAAAAUUAUCAGAUCGAUAAAGUCGAAGACCCCAAAGUAUUAUUUGGAAAAGCGCAAGCCUUCAUAAAGGCUAAACUAGAUGAAAUUAAUGAAGGCAGCAA
This is a long non-coding RNA of Vanessa atalanta (red admiral), 338 nucleotides long. RefSeq lists it as uncharacterized. The record is from RefSeq and is a predicted model, not a curated record. NCBI's taxonomy places the organism in Eukaryota, Metazoa, Arthropoda, Insecta, Lepidoptera, Nymphalidae. The transcript has 3 exons.